Molecule: ribosomal RNA, 259 nt
Filed under: uncultured archaeon
Lineage: Archaea
Description: partial 16S ribosomal RNA
Rfam family: Archaeal small subunit ribosomal RNA
Source: RNAcentral
AGGGUGUAAACGCUGCAGACUUGGUGUUGGAGGCCCUUUGGGGGCAUUCAGUGCCGGAGAGAAGUUGUUAAGUCUGCUACUUGGGGAGUACGUCCGCAAGGAUGAAACUUAAAGGAAUUGGCGGGGGAGCACGCAACGGGAGGAGCGUGCGGUUUAAUUGGAUUCAACACCGUAAACUCACCAGGGAAGACUGUUACAUGAAGGCCGAGAUGAAGACUCUGCUAGAUUUUCAGAGAGGAGGUGCAUGGCGUCAGUGACU